Molecule: ribosomal RNA, 768 nt
Filed under: Triticum aestivum (bread wheat)
Lineage: Eukaryota; Viridiplantae; Streptophyta; Magnoliopsida; Poales; Poaceae
Description: partial small subunit ribosomal RNA
Source: RNAcentral
AUGACUGCUGUGGAGCUCGGGAGGAAAGCAGGGUGGGAAAUGAUGGGGCAUCGGGGAACCAGGGUUGCCUCGGGAUAUGUAUCCAGAACGAAUCAGAGCAGUAUCCGUAUCAAAUACGGCAUAGCCAUGGUUAAGAGAAAAUCCAAGUCUUGUUCUGAAAUCAAGAAGAAGAAACAGCGCAAUGCAUAUGAGCAUGCACAAUCCUUAUCUUGUGAUGAAGAGUUUUGGGAUAAGGAGCAGCAAGAGAUGUAUCUUCAGAUCUAUAAGAAAGCGGAGGUGUUUGCGCAUCGAUCUGUGCACUUGUCUGAUAAUAUUGACACCAAAUAUGAGAAACUUGGUCUCAAGGGAAAUCGAGGUGCUUGCGGUGACAUCCUUCUCAGGCUCACUCGUGCUAUUUACACAGAAGCACCUUUUGAUAUUGCCAAUUUCCUCCUUAGUGAGAUGUGCAUUAUCAUCGAGGAUCCAAACCAUAAGCUGCCUUAUGGGCCUUACAUCUUUUCUCUUCUGCGUCAUUUGAAGAUUAUCAAUGAUGAGAGUAUUGGUGAGACAUGUUCUCUCAGGGCAUACAACCCACUGGCUAUGAAGAAAUCAAAGAAAUCAGUUAUUGUUCAGCUUGAAAAGAAGGUGGAGUCACUUUUGGCUACCUUUAUUAAAAGGAUGGAUGAGUUGGAGCGAAAAGUUGAGGAAUUUGAUAAGAGAAUAAAGGAUGUUGAGACGCUGCUGAAGGGCUCCUCGGAUAUAGUCUUCAGGCGGAGAGGCGGCAAUUGA